Molecule: long non-coding RNA, 538 nt
Filed under: Nicotiana benthamiana
Lineage: Eukaryota; Viridiplantae; Streptophyta; Magnoliopsida; Solanales; Solanaceae
Description: long non-coding RNA (NBEN_LNC039018)
Source: RNAcentral
GAAAAGGGUAUUAAAGCUAGAAGUUACUGUAUACUAGAGUUUGUUAUUUAAAAAAAAAGAGUUACAGCAUACCAGGAGGGGAACCUACUCAGUAAUAGGUGGCGUUGAAAAGAAUAGGAAGAAAGGAGGAAAAGAUGAAAUGAAGAGGAGAGAAACAGAAUAACUAAGGAAUAGUGUCUCGUGGUGAGGUAGUUCCAUGGUGGCUGCGAAGAGGAAGCAGAAGAAGACAAGCGAGGAAAGUGAAAAUGAAAGGAAAAAAGAGUAACUACUUUUUAUCGUCAAAAGUUUUUAAACAGGCACGUGAAUCGAAGAUGAAAGGGAGAUUUGAUGUUUGAAUACCAGAAAAACUAUUUAGAUGGGAAAGAUUUCUAAAAUAAAAUAACAGGUGAAUCGAGGUUAGUGAAAUGGAGAUUUGAUGUUUGACUACCAGAAAAGCUAUUUAGAUGGGAAAGAUUUCUAAAUAAAAACAAAAGGAUUCUUGGGGCAAUUUAUUUGUUAUGAUUGAUAUGUGGACGGACAAAGAUAAUUAGGAUGUUUG